Long non-coding RNA from Prionailurus viverrinus (fishing cat), 1114 nucleotides. RefSeq lists it as uncharacterized. The record is from RefSeq and is a predicted model, not a curated record. Lineage: Eukaryota; Metazoa; Chordata; Mammalia; Carnivora; Felidae. The transcript has 3 exons.
AGGCGCCCCUAUGGUCAGCAUUUUUUAGCAAUAAAAUAUUUUUUAAUAGACAGCAAGCCAAAAACAUGCGUUCAGCAUUUCUGUGAUCCAAAUAAUUCAUCGGUGAUCAUUUUUUAAUACAAAGGAGGAGUAUUGAGGAAAAAAUACCCAAAUUUGGAAAGAGACAAAAAGAUAAGUACAUAUUUUUCAAUGUUUUACUGAGGCAUUACCUUAUAUGUCCACCUAAGAAUUUUCUAAUUCUUCAGGAUAAUGUAGGUUUGUCUGACUUACUGUUUACUGUUGAUUGGGGUGUUUCUAUAUAUUUAGCUGUUAACUCACAGAAAACAUAAUGAUGCAAAUGCUACAAUAAAUAAUGAUGCAAAUAAAUUUUGUCUAGUAGAUAUGCAAAUGUAUUUUCUUUUUAUGUAACAGAGUUUACAAGAUAAAGUUCACAGUAUUGCCCUAGAGGACAUUAACCAGUUUUGCACAUAAUUUAGCAAUUUUAUCCUAGCCUUCUUUCUUUUAGUGGCUAUAAAUACAAGUGUUUCUCCUUUGAACCAGAUUUGCCACCUUGCUAAUUCCCUCAUGGACAUAUUAAAAAAAUCUUUAACGUCCUUAAAAAUCAAACAAACAACAACCAAAAACCUGAAUACUACUUUUCACCAUAACUGGUUAUAAUCACCUGAAGCUGGUAAAUGACCAUAAACUUUGAGUUCUCCAUUUGCAGAAACUUUUUUUCUUAUUGAAGACCUUUUCCUGACCACAUACAAUAGAAAUUUUUUAACCCACAGCACAGAUUUAUGGACUCAUUCUGUCUUAUCCAGAGUUCUGGAUAACUGAACAAUGAACUUAACUGAACAAGGAGUCCAUGAAUUCCUCAUCCACCAUGAUAUGUUCUCCUUAAAUGACCAACUUAAAGAAUUUCUUCACUCCUGUGUGCACUCUCGUCCCUUUCUGGUAUGGAGAGUGUCAUUGUUGACAGGGUGUCACAGCAGCACCAACAUUUUGCUGACCAGCCAGAUGGGUUUUGACAGUUUCACUGAAAAAGGACACAGUGUGAUCGAGAUACCAAUAUUAAGAGUGAAUACAAAACAUAAGAAGUGACAAAAGCUCACCUAAGACCUAUAAUAAAUGA